GGUUAAGCGACUAAGCGUACACGGUGGAUGCCCUGGCAGUCAGAGGCGAUGAAGGACGUGCUAAUCUGCGAUAAGCGUCGGUAAGGUGAUAUGAACCGUUAUAACCGGCGAUUUCCGAAUGGGGAAACCCAGUGUGUUUCGACACACUAUCAUUAACUGAAUCCAUAGGUUAAUGAGGCGAACCGGGGGAACUGAAACAUCUAAGUACCCCGAGGAAAAGAAAUCAACCGAGAUUCCCCCAGUAGCGGCGAGCGAACGGGGAGCAGCCCAGAGCCUGAAUCAGUGUGUGUGUUAGUGGAAGCGUCUGGAAAGGCGCGCGAUACAGGGUGACAGCCCCGUACACAAAAAUGCACAUGCUGUGAGCUCGAUGAGUAGGGCGGGACACGUGGUAUCCUGUCUGAAUAUGGGGGGACCAUCCUCCAAGGCUAAAUACUCCUGACUGACCGAUAGUGAACCAGUACCGUGAGGGAAAGGCGAAAAGAACCCCGGCGAGGGGAGUGAAAAAGAACCUGAAACCGUGUACGUACAAGCAGUGGGAGCACGCUUAGGCGUGUGACUGCGUACCUUUUGUAUAAUGGGUCAGCGACUUAUAUUCUGUAGCAAGGUUAACCGAAUAGGGGAGCCGAAGGGAAACCGAGUCUUAACUGGGCGUUAAGUUGCAGGGUAUAGACCCGAAACCCGGUGAUCUAGCCAUGGGCAGGUUGAAGGUUGGGUAACACUAACUGGAGGACCGAACCGACUAAUGUUGAAAAAUUAGCGGAUGACUUGUGGCUGGGGGUGAAAGGCCAAUCAAACCGGGAGAUAGCUGGUUCUCCCCGAAAGCUAUUUAGGUAGCGCCUCGUGAAUUCAUCUCCGGGGGUAGAGCACUGUUUCGGCAAGGGGGUCAUCCCGACUUACCAACCCGAUGCAAACUGCGAAUACCGGAGAAUGUUAUCACGGGAGACACACGGCGGGUGCUAACGUCCGUCGUGAAGAGGGAAACAACCCAGACCGCCAGCUAAGGUCCCAAAGUCAUGGUUAAGUGGGAAACGAUGUGGGAAGGCCCAGACAGCCAGGAUGUUGGCUUAGAAGCAGCCAUCAUUUAAAGAAAGCGUAAUAGCUCACUGGUCGAGUCGGCCUGCGCGGAAGAUGUAACGGGGCUAAACCAUGCACCGAAGCUGCGGCAGCGACACUAUGCGUUGUUGGGUAGGGGAGCGUUCUGUAAGCCUGUGAAGGUGUGCUGUGAGGCAUGCUGGAGGUAUCAGAAGUGCGAAUGCUGACAUAAGUAACGAUAAAGCGGGUGAAAAGCCCGCUCGCCGGAAGACCAAGGGUUCCUGUCCAACGUUAAUCGGGGCAGGGUGAGUCGACCCCUAAGGCGAGGCCGAAAGGCGUAGUCGAUGGGAAACAGGUUAAUAUUCCUGUACUUGGUGUUACUGCGAAGGGGGGACGGAGAAGGCUAUGUUGGCCGGGCGACGGUUGUCCCGGUUUAAGCGUGUAGGCUGGUUUUCCAGGCAAAUCCGGAAAAUCAAGGCUGAGGCGUGAUGACGAGGCACUACGGUGCUGAAGCAACAAAUGCCCUGCUUCCAGGAAAAGCCUCUAAGCAUCAGGUAACAUCAAAUCGUACCCCAAACCGACACAGGUGGUCAGGUAGAGAAUACCAAGGCGCUUGAGAGAACUCGGGUGAAGGAACUAGGCAAAAUGGUGCCGUAACUUCGGGAGAAGGCACGCUGAUAUGUAGGUGAAGCGACUUGCUCGUGGAGCUGAAAUCAGUCGAAGAUACCAGCUGGCUGCAACUGUUUAUUAAAAACACAGCACUGUGCAAACACGAAAGUGGACGUAUACGGUGUGACGCCUGCCCGGUGCCGGAAGGUUAAUUGAUGGGGUUAGCNNNNNNGCGAAGCUCUUGAUCGAAGCCCCGGUAAACGGCGGCCGUAACUAUAACGGUCCUAAGGUAGCGAAAUUCCUUGUCGGGUAAGUUCCGACCUGCACGAAUGGCGUAAUGAUGGCCAGGCUGUCUCCACCCGAGACUCAGUGAAAUUGAACUCGCUGUGAAGAUGCAGUGUACCCGCGGCAAGACGGAAAGACCCCGUGAACCUUUACUAUAGCUUGACACUGAACAUUGAGCCUUGAUGUGUAGGAUAGGUGGGAGGCUUUGAAGUGUGGACGCCAGUCUGCAUGGAGCCGACCUUGAAAUACCACCCUUUAAUGUUUGAUGUUCUAACGUUGACCCGUAAUCCGGGUUGCGGACAGUGUCUGGUGGGUAGUUUGACUGGGGCGGUCUCCUCCUAAAGAGUAACGGAGGAGCACGAAGGUUGGCUAAUCCUGGUCGGACAUCAGGAGGUUAGUGCAAUGGCAUAAGCCAGCUUGACUGCGAGCGUGACGGCGCGAGCAGGUGCGAAAGCAGGUCAUAGUGAUCCGGUGGUUCUGAAUGGAAGGGCCAUCGCUCAACGGAUAAAAGGUACUCCGGGGAUAACAGGCUGAUACCGCCCAAGAGUUCAUAUCGACGGCGGUGUUUGGCACCUCGAUGUCGGCUCAUCACAUCCUGGGGCUGAAGUAGGUCCCAAGGGUAUGGCUGUUCGCCAUUUAAAGUGGUACGCGAGCUGGGUUUAGAACGUCGUGAGACAGUUCGGUCCCUAUCUGCCGUGGGCGCUGGAGAACUGAGGGGGGCUGCUCCUAGUACGAGAGGACCGGAGUGGACGCAUCACUGGUGUUCGGGUUGUCAUGCCAAUGGCACUGCCCGGUAGCUAAAUGCGGAAGAGAUAAGUGCUGAAAGCAUCUAAGCACGAAACUUGCCCCGAGAUGAGUUCUCCCUGACUCCUUGAGAGUCCUGAAGGAACGUUGAAGACGACGACGUUGAUAGGCCGGGUGUGUAAGCGCAGCGAUGCGUUGAGCUAACCGGUACUAAUGAACCGUGAGGCUUAACCUU
This 2905-nucleotide ribosomal RNA is filed under the name Escherichia coli. RNAcentral's name for it is "23S ribosomal RNA". It matches the Rfam family "Bacterial large subunit ribosomal RNA". Lineage: Bacteria; Pseudomonadati; Pseudomonadota; Gammaproteobacteria; Enterobacterales; Enterobacteriaceae. The record is from RNAcentral.